This 2501-nucleotide ribosomal RNA is filed under the name Clostridioides difficile. RNAcentral's name for it is "bacterial LSU rRNA". It matches the Rfam family "Bacterial large subunit ribosomal RNA", at positions 401 to 2925 of the family's 2925-position model. RNAcentral also lists the same sequence under 3 other names. The record is from RNAcentral. Lineage: Bacteria; Bacillati; Bacillota; Clostridia; Peptostreptococcales; Peptostreptococcaceae.
UAUGAUCCAGAGUACCACGGGACACGUGAAACCCUGUGGGAAGCAGGAGGGACCACCCUCCAAGGCUAAAUACUACCUAGUGACCGAUAGCGUAUAGUACCGUGAGGGAAAGGUGAAAAGAACCCCGGGAGGGGAGUGAAAUAGAACCUGAAACCCUGCACUUACAAGCUGUGGAAGCACAUUUCUUGUGUGACCGCGUACUUUUUGUAGAACGGGCCAACGAGUUACGUUAAGUAGCAAGGUUAAGCACUUAAGGUGCGGAGCCGUAGCGAAAGCGAGUUUUAACUGAGCGUUCAGUUACUUGACGUAGACCCGAAACCGGGCGACCUACCCAUGAGCAGGAUGAAGCGAAAGUAAAAUUUCGUGGAGGUCCGAACCCACGAGCGUUGAAAAGCUCGGGGAUGACUUGUGGGUAGCGGUGAAAUUCCAAUCGAGCCCGGAGAUAGCUGGUUCUCCCCGAAAUAGCUUUAGGGCUAGCCUCAAGGUGAGAGAUACGGAGGUAGAGCACUGAAUGUCCUAGGGGGUAUUGCACCUACCGAAGACUAUCAAACUCCGAAUGCCGUCAUCUUAUACUUGGGAGUCAGACUGUGGGUGAUAAGAUUCAUAGUCGAAAGGGCAACAGCCCAGAUCGUCAGCUAAGGUCCCUAAAUGUAAGUUAAGUGGUAAAGGAUGUGGGAUUGCACAGACAACCAGGAUGUUGGCUUAGAAGCAGCCACUCAUUCAAAGAGUGCGUAAUAGCUCACUGGUCGAGUGAUCCUGCGCCGAAGAUUUCCGGGGCUAAAACUUACUACCGAAGCUACGGCAUCAGUAAUGAUGGGUAGGGGAGCUUCCCAUACGGGUUGAAGCAUGACCGUAAGGACAUGUGGACAGUAUGGGAGUGAGAAUGUUGGCAUGAGUAGCGAGAUGUGGGUGAGAAUCCCACAGGCCGUAAACCCAAGGUUUCCAGGGGAAGGUUCGUCCGCCCUGGGUUAGUCGGGACCUAAGCUGAGGCCGAAAGGCGUAGGUGAUGGACAACAGGUUGAUAUUCCUGUACUACCGAUAACCGUUUGAGAGAAGGGAUGACACAGUAGGAUAAGCUAAGCACACUGUUGGUUAUGUGUGCCCAAGCAUUGAGGCAGUCAAAGUAGGCAAAUCCGCUUUGAUAAUGCUGGGAUGUGAUGGGGAGCGAAAUUUAGUAGCGAAGUAGCUGAUUUCACACUGUCAAGAAAAGUCUCUAUCGAGGUUAAAGGUACCCGUACCGCAAACCGACACAGGUGGGUGAGGAGAGUAUCCUAAGGCCAGCGAGAGAACUGUUGUUAAGGAACUCGGCAAAAUGACCCCGUAACUUAGGGAUAAGGGGUGCCACCAUCAGGUGGCCGCAGAGAAUAGGCCCAAGCGACUGUUUACCAAAAACAUAGGUUUCUGCUAAGUCGCAAGACGAUGUAUAGGAGCUGACGCCUGCCCGGUGCUGGAAGGUUAAGGGGAUCUGUUAGAGCAAUCGAAGCAGUGAACUUAAGCCCCAGUAAACGGCGGCCGUAACUAUAACGGUCCUAAGGUAGCGAAAUUCCUUGUCGGGUAAGUUCCGACCCGCACGAAAGGCGUAACGAUUUGGGCACUGUCUCAACAACAGACUCGGUGAAAUUGUAAUUCCGGUGAAGAUGCCGGAUACCUGCGACAGGACGGAAAGACCCCAUGGAGCUUUACUGUAGCUUGACAUUGGGUCUUGGUACUACAUGUACAGGAUAGGUGGGAGGCUUUGAAACCAGGACGCCAGUUUUGGCGGAGCCAUCCUUGGGAUACCACCCUUGUAGUACUGGGACUCUAACCAUAGGCCAUGAAUCUGGUCUUGGGACACUGUCAGGUGGGCAGUUUGACUGGGGCGGUCGCCUCCCAAAAGGUAACGGAGGCGCUCAAAGGUUCUCUCAGUACGGUCGGAAAUCGUACGUAGAGUGUAAAGGCAAAAGAGAGCUUGAUUGCAAGACAUACAGGUCGAGCAAGGAUGAAAAUCGGACUUAGUGAUCCGGUGGUUCUGCGUGGAAGGGCCAUCGCUCAACGGAUAAAAGCUACCCUGGGGAUAACAGGCUUAUCUCCCCCAAGAGUCCACAUCGACGGGGAGGUUUGGCACCUCGAUGUCGGCUCAUCACAUCCUGGGGCUGUAGUAGGUCCCAAGGGUUGGGCUGUUCGCCCAUUAAAGUGGUACGCGAGCUGGGUUCAGAACGUCGUGAGACAGUUCGGUCCCUAUCCGUCGCAGGCGUAGGAAAUUUGAGAAGACCUGUCCUUAGUACGAGAGGACCGGGAUGGACGUACCUCUGGUGUACCAGUUGUCCUGCCAAGGGCAUGGCUGGGUAGCUAUGUACGGAAUGGAUAAGCGCUGAAAGCAUCUAAGCGCGAAGCCAACUUCAAGAUAAGAUUUCCCACCGCAAGGGUAAGACCCCAGAAAGACUAUCUGGUUGAUAGGUCGAAGGUGUAAGUGCAGCAAUGUAUUUAGCUUAUCGAUACUAAUAGGUCGAGGACUUGACCAA